UUGAAGUUUUGCGGUUGUCCGGUGGUGUCGGGGUUACGCCGACGAUCUGUGAGUCGACGUGUUUGGGCGGUGGGAUUUGUCCUUUUCUGGGCACGUGUCUUCUUUCCUGCUACAUGAGUGUACACGUGUUCUCAAGACUAAUGAUUUGUCUUUUCCUUCCGCCUUGAAAGACUUGGUCUGGGCCUAAGCGUUAUUUAAUAUUUAUGAGGCCUUGUUCAAUGGAGUUAAUCUUUUUAGAGGUUUGAUGGUGUAGCGGAGGUUCGCUUAGCAUCGGUUCACCGGCUUUGUUCCAUCGCUGCUCUCCUCUCUCUUUUAGUUUGGCCUUGGUUCAUGGUUCUUCUUUUCUGCUUUGGUGUUCUGAGUUCUCAGGUUGGUGAGUUUGGCCAGGUUUCGUUCGGGGCUUCGUCUUUCUGACGUGUUAUUGCUGCGACGCAUCUACUAGCUCUUUUCUAAGACUGUUGGGUCUUGGGUCGGGUUCAUGACGUCGCAAUGGUCUCGAUUUUCAGGUCUUCUCUUGCGAGGACGUACCCGGUCUUUAGUCUGUAGAUACUGGGACUGGUGUGCGAGUGUCCGCGUGUAAGAGUUGAAGGUCUUGGUUGGCGUUUUCCCUG
Molecule: long non-coding RNA, 611 nt
Filed under: Brassica napus (rape)
Lineage: Eukaryota; Viridiplantae; Streptophyta; Magnoliopsida; Brassicales; Brassicaceae
Description: long non-coding RNA (BNAP_LNC009668)
Source: RNAcentral